Molecule: ribosomal RNA, 119 nt
Filed under: Pteropus alecto (black flying fox)
Lineage: Eukaryota; Metazoa; Chordata; Mammalia; Chiroptera; Pteropodidae
Source: RNAcentral
GUCUAUGGCCAUGCCACCCUGAACAAGCCCAAUCCUGUCUGAUCUCGGAAGCUAAGCAGGGUUGGGCCUGGUUAGCACUUUGAUGGGAGACCACCUAGGAAGACCAGGUGCUAUAGGUG